CGCGGGUGGAGCAGCAUGGUAGCUCGUCGGGCUCAUAACCCGAAGGUCGUCGGUUCAAAUCCGGCCCCCGCAACCA
This 76-nucleotide transfer RNA is filed under the name Escherichia coli. RNAcentral describes it as "tRNA-Met". It matches the Rfam family "tRNA". From Rfam's summary of the family: Transfer RNA (tRNA) molecules are approximately 80 nucleotides in length. Their secondary structure includes four short double-helical elements and three loops (D, anti-codon, and T loops). Lineage: Bacteria; Pseudomonadati; Pseudomonadota; Gammaproteobacteria; Enterobacterales; Enterobacteriaceae. RNAcentral also lists the same sequence under 1 other name. The record is from RNAcentral.